UACCCAGCAACUCCUAUCCCUACCUCCUCGCGGUACUGGCCGGGGUACGAGUAACCUUAGGGAAGA
This 66-nucleotide ribozyme is filed under the name Aedes aegypti (yellow fever mosquito). RNAcentral describes it as "drz-agam-1 ribozyme". It matches the Rfam family "drz-agam-1 ribozyme". Lineage: Eukaryota; Metazoa; Arthropoda; Insecta; Diptera; Culicidae. The record is from Rfam by way of RNAcentral.